GACGAACGCUGGCGGCGUGCCUAAUACAUGCAAGUAGAACGCUGAAGAGAGGAGCUUGCUCUUCUUGGAUGAGUUGCGAACGGGUGAGUAACGCGUAGGUAACCUGCCUGGUAGCGGGGGAUAACUAUUGGAAACGAUAGCUAAUACCGCAUAAAAUUGAUUAUUGCAUGAUAAUUAAUUGAAAGAUGCAACUGCAUCACUACCAGAUGGACCUGCGUUGUAUUAGCUAGUUGGUGAGGUAACGGCUCACCAAGGCGACGAUACAUAGCCGACCUGAGAGGGUCAUCGGCCACACUGGGACUGAGACACGGCCCAGACUCCUACGGGAGGCAGCAGUAGGGAAUCUUCGGCAAUGGGGGGAACCCUGACCGAGCAACGCCGCGUGAGUGAAGAAGGUUUUCGGAUCGUAAAGCUCUGUUGUAAGAGAAGAACGGGUGUGAGAGUGGAAAGUUCACACUGUGACGGUAUCUUACCAGAAGGGGACGGCUAACUACGUG
RNAcentral lists this ribosomal RNA (497 nucleotides) under uncultured bacterium. RNAcentral's name for it is "partial 16S ribosomal RNA". It matches the Rfam family "Bacterial small subunit ribosomal RNA", at positions 28 to 507 of the family's 1533-position model. The record is from RNAcentral.